CCAUGGGGAAUCCAAAACUGUCUGCACAUUUUCACCACCAUCUUCAAAGUCACACCACAAUGACAGAAUAGCACAACGCAGGGAGUGCCAUCUGAUCUAAGGCGAGAAGGAGAGAGAUGGACGGGCAGACACAAAAGAAGGAAAGAGAGAUAGAUUUAAUGAGCCACGCCAAUGAACCCACUCCUUGUUAAGAUAAUUAUGAUCAAGCUCAUUGUCACAGUGAAUUUCUCAACGUGUUUGCCAGUGCGGCGUCUGCCUGAGUUAGCACACAGCUCACAAAACAGGAGAUUUAGCUGCUAAACAACAUACUUCGCUGGAAAAAACAUGAUUACACUGUAUAAAUAAGGCGACCAAAUGACCAGGAUACAAAACAGGAUUUACACAAGCUCUAGUCUGGAUCCAGAACACCUGAGAAAAGAUGAUGCUAACCAUCAGAGGACCUCAGAUGAUGCUAACCCUGAAUCAACAAACAGAACUAACAAAUAUUGCUACAAGUGUGACUGCAUUAUAUAACAAUUAUUAAUUAAUAAUAUUAAUAAUGUUCAUCGUCUGGCUGACUACGUCUUGUAUUAAUUUUUCAAAAAAAUCCUGUCAUACGCGCACAAACUGACAGUCACCACUAAUAAGCUACUACUAAAUAUUGUAGAAACAAUUUUCUGUAAAGUUGCUUUGUAACAAUUUGUAUUGUAAAAAGCGCUAUAGAGAUAAACUUGAAUUGAAUGUUAUUUUUUCAUUACUCCACAUGGCGACACAUUUGUGGAAAUAUUCCCCUCAUUAAACCACCAACACGAAAACGAGGAACAAAA
Carassius gibelio (silver crucian carp) is the source of this 806-nucleotide long non-coding RNA. RefSeq lists it as uncharacterized. The transcript has 2 exons. NCBI's taxonomy places the organism in Eukaryota, Metazoa, Chordata, Actinopteri, Cypriniformes, Cyprinidae. The record is from RefSeq and is a predicted model, not a curated record.